CCCUGAGAAAACCAUAAUUCAAGAAGAGUCAUGUACCAAAAUGUUCAUUGCAGCUCUAUUUACAAUAGCCAGGAGAUGGAAACAACCUAAGUGUCCAUCAUCGGAUGAAUGGAUAAAGAAGAUGUGGCACAUAUAUACAAUGGAAUAUUACUCAGCCAUAAAAAGAAAUGAAAUUGAGCUAUUUGUAAUGAGAUGGAUAGACCUAGAGUCUGUCAUACAGAGUGAAGUAAGUCAGAAAGAAAAAGACAAAUACUGUAUGCUAACACAUGUAUAUGGAAUUUAAGAAAAAAAAUGUCAUGGAGAACCUAGGGGUAAGACAGGAAUAAAGACACAGACCUACUGGAGAACAGACUUGAGGAUAUGGGGAGGGGGAAGGGUGAGCUGUGACAGGGCAAGAGAGAGUCAUGGACAUAUACACACUAACAAACAUAAGGUAGAUAGCUAGUGGGAAGCAGCCACAUGGCACAGGGAUAUCGGCUCGGUGCUUUGUGACCACCUGGAGGGGUGGGAUAGGGAGGGUGGGAGGGAGGGAGACACAAGAGGGAAGAGAUAUGGGAACAUAUGUAUAUGUAUAACUGAUUCACUUUGUUAUAAAGCAGAAACUAACACACCAUUGUAAAGCAAUUGUACCCCAAUAAAGAUGUUAAAAAAAAAAAAGA
This is a long non-coding RNA of Orcinus orca (killer whale), 659 nucleotides long. RefSeq lists it as uncharacterized. The transcript has 2 exons. Lineage: Eukaryota; Metazoa; Chordata; Mammalia; Artiodactyla; Delphinidae. The record is from RefSeq and is a predicted model, not a curated record.